GUAGGUGGCAGGCGUUGUCCGGAAUUAUUGGGCGUAAAGCGCGCGCAGGCGGUUCUUUAAGUCUGAUGUGAAAGCCCACGGCUCAACCGUGGAGGGUCAUUGGAAACUGGAGAACUUGAGUACAGAAGAGGAAAGCGGAAUUCCACGUGUAGCGGUGAAAUGCGUAGAGAUGUGGAGGAACACCAGUGGCGAAGGCGGCUUUCUGGUCUGUAACUGACGCUGAGGCGCGAAAGCGUGGGGAGCAAACAGGAUUAGAUACCCUGGUAGUCCACGCCGUAAACGAUGAGUGCUAAGUGUUAGGGGGGUUUCCGCCCCCCUUAGUGCUGCAGCUAACGCAUUAAGCACUCCGCCUGGGAGUACGGCCGCAAGGCUG
RNAcentral lists this ribosomal RNA (373 nucleotides) under uncultured organism. Its description in RNAcentral is "partial 16S ribosomal RNA". It matches the Rfam family "Bacterial small subunit ribosomal RNA", at positions 527 to 896 of the family's 1533-position model. The record is from RNAcentral.